GUGCUCGCUCCGGCAGCACAUACACUGAAGUUGGAACGAUACAGAGAAGAUUAGCGUGGCCCCUGCACAAGGAUGACACACAAAUUCAUGAAGCAUUCCAUGUUAAA
This 107-nucleotide small nuclear RNA is filed under the name Neotoma lepida (desert woodrat). The record is from RNAcentral. Lineage: Eukaryota; Metazoa; Chordata; Mammalia; Rodentia; Cricetidae.